AGAGUUUGAUCCUGGCUCAGAGCGAACCCUGGAGGCGUACUUAACACAUGCAAGUCGUACGAGGAUCGUCGGGUUAGCAAUAAUUCGGCGGUUCGAGUGGCGCACGGGUGAGUAACACGUGGGUAACCCACCCUCGAGACCGGGAUACCCUCUCGAAAGGGAGGCUAAUACUGGAUACGUUCCCCGGGACGCAAGAUCUGGGGAGGAAAGGUGGCGAAAGCUGCCGCUCUUGGAGGGGCUCGCGGCCUAUCAGCUAGUUGGUGAGGUAACGGCUCACCAAGGCUAUGACGGGUAGCUGGUCUGAGAGGACGACCAGCCACACGGGAACUGAGACACGGUCCCGACUCCUACGGGAGGCAGCAGUGGGGAAUUUUCCGCAAUGGGCGAAAGCCUGACGGAGUGACGCCGCGUGGGGGACGAAGGCCUUCGGGUCGUAAACCCCUGUCAGAGGGAAAGAAGGGUGUCGGCGUGAAUAGCGCCGGCAUCUGACGGGUACCUUCAGAGGAAGGCCCGGGCCAACUCUGUGCCAGCAGCCGCGGGUAAGACAGAGGGGGCAAGCGUUUGCUCGGGAAUCACUGGGCGUAAAAGGGCGCGUAGGGCGGGAUGGCAAAGUCGGUCGUGAAAUCCUCUUCGGCUCAACCGAAAGAAACGUUCGGCCGAAUACUCUGCCGUUUCUUUGAGGGGAUGCAGAGGAGGAGAAUUGGGAAUUUCCCGGGUGUUAGCGGUGGAAUUGUGGUAGAAGAUCGGGAAGGGAACACCGGGUGGGCGAAGGGCCGGGUUCCUCUGGGUCAAUCCUUCUUGGACGCUUGGAGGGCGGCGAAAGGCCGGUGGGGAAGCAAACCGGGAAUUAGAAUAACCCCGGGUAAGCUCCACGCUUUGAAACCGAAUGACACAACUUAGGAGUGGGGGGGGAGGGGUUAAGUCCUCUUUCCGUGGCCCCGCAGCAUUAAACGCACUUAUAAAGUCCCUCCCCCGCCCUGGGGGGGAGAGUACAGAGCCCGCGAAGAGGAGGUUUUGAAAAUAACUCUCUACAAAGAAAGAAAAUAUUGACUGAUGGGCCCGCCACAAGCGGUGGAGCAUGUGCUUCAAUUCGAUGCAGAGCGAAGAACCUUUACCUGGGCUUGACAUGCUGGAAAGUAGAAACCCGAAAGGGGGACGACCUGUUAAGUCAGGAGCCAGCACAGGUGGUGCAUGGCUGUCGUCAGCUCGUGCCGUGAGGUGUUGGGUUAAGUCCCGCAACGAGCGCAACCCUCACCCUAUGUUGCCAUCAGUUCGGCUGGGCACUCUUAGGGAACUGCCGGCGAAGAGCUGGAGGAAGGGGGGGAUGACGUCAAGUCCGUAUGCCCCUUAUGUCCAGGGCUACACACAUGCUACAAUGGUCGGUACAGAGGGUUGCCAACCCGCGAGGGGGAGCCAAUCCCACAAAGCCGAUCUCAGUUCGGAUUGCAGGCUGCAACUCGCCUGCAUGAAGUAGGAAUCGCUAGUAAGCGCAGAUCAGCAGGCUGCGCUGAAUACGUUCCCGGGCCUUGUACACACCGCCCGUCACACCACGAAAGCCAGUUGUACCAGAAGUCGCCGAGCUAACCGCAAGGACGCAGGCGCCCAAGGUAUGGUUGGUGAUUGGGGUGAAGUCGUAACAAGGUAACC
RNAcentral lists this ribosomal RNA (1647 nucleotides) under uncultured bacterium. RNAcentral describes it as "bacterial SSU rRNA". It matches the Rfam family "Bacterial small subunit ribosomal RNA". The record is from RNAcentral.